Long non-coding RNA from Capsicum annuum, 4043 nucleotides. RefSeq lists it as uncharacterized. The transcript has 3 exons. NCBI's taxonomy places the organism in Eukaryota, Viridiplantae, Streptophyta, Magnoliopsida, Solanales, Solanaceae. The record is from RefSeq and is a predicted model, not a curated record.
GUUCUAUCUAGUUUCUCUUUUCUUCCAAAAUUAUUCUAAAUUAGUUUUAUUACUUGGUUAUUUGAGCUGUCGAUCUUAUUCUUCCUACUUUAUUCUAUCCGAAUCUGUCAUUUUUCUUAUUUGUACAACUCAAUAAUUUACUAUGAAAUUUGACAAUUUGUGGAUGGUCAGUUAUUAUCUCUCUAUAAUUCAGUUGCAAUGCUUAGGACUUCUGUUCUUUUGUUUUACUUUUGUUGUAGAUAAGAUUAGAUAUGUUAUGUUCUAUUGCAAAUGAAGAAACACACAGAUAAUUGAAAUGAGAUAUUUUGUGCUAGUAAUAUAAUGUAAGGACUAUUUAUGGGAUUAAAGUAAGGAUUUUUAAAUGCAAAAAGAGUCUUAGAUUAUAUUUGAACCUGCCUUGCACAACUUGUGUGAGAUUUGUUUUGUAGUGCCAUGGUUAUAGCCAAUGUAAUUUAAACUAUGAUUUCCUUAUGUUGAAAUUAAGCCUUAAUGAAGAUGAAAAUUCUGGAAGCAUAUGAGUAUCAUUGCUUGGUAUAAGGAUCUAUUAGUGUUAUGUGUUGCACUUUUGAUAGCGCAGAUUAAGAGAAAGGGCAUCUCGAUGCACUAGAACUCCCGCUAUGGUUGGUAUAAGGACCUAUUACAUACGCUUAUACAUGUUGUUUGUGUUUGUAUAUGUGUGUGCAUGUGUGUGUCUAUAUAUAUAUAUAUAUAUAUAUAUAUAUUUAAGCAUGCUUUGACACUUUUAUUCUCAAGUAUCAUCUAUCCUUUUGUUCAGAAAGAAUGGUGUAGUAAUUCUGAUAUAGAUCCCUAAUAUAGAACUAUCAUAAAACGAAGCUUUUUAUCAGAAAUAGGAGAUUAAGCAUAUGCUCACCUAACAUAUUCUGUGACUAUGUCGUUAGUUUCCUGGAGCUUGUAUAACUUCAUUUGUGAUACAUCAGAGAGUAAGAUAUAGAUCAACUAUUCUGUUAUUAAUGACCAUGAGGCUAGUGAUACAUUCUGUAGUACUUUGUGAUUCUUUUUUGUUAUUUCUUCCUUCUAUUAUUUUGUGUUCCUACAAUCUAAUAAGCAACUUAAAUUCCUGGUCAUGUAAAACUUCAUAAUAUUCAUAUUCUUUUUAAUCUUCUAUCAUUAUAUUUAUUCCAUUGAUUGUCAAGUUAUUCUCCUCAAUGAGAGAGAACCGGGCUACCAAAAAGGAAUAUGCUAAAAUAGAAGAUGGUUUGAAGUCACUUCAGAGUGUUGGAGAAAUCAUAGGAGAAGUGCUCCGACCUCUAGAUAAUGAGUGUUAUAAGUACCCUUUAUACUAACUAAUAUUCAUUUACUUUUUUAGUCAUAGAAAUGCAUUAUUGAUCAAAAAGUGUUUAUUUUUUUCCUUUACAUGAAAAAAGUUACUUAGACCUUUUUUAACUUUUUAGUGAUAGUAAAAGCUAGCAGCGGUCCAAGGUAUAUGGUUGGCUGUCACAAUAAAGUGGAUAAGGAAAAACUAACUUCAGGCACAAGAGAGGUUCUCAACAUGACAACACUUACAAUCAAGCGGGCACUUCCCCGUGAAAUUAGUAAUCAUUUUUUUGCUUGCAAGUGUAAAAUGUCUAGGCCUAUAUUUAGAAUUAUUACAUAUGUUCAUCCCCAGUUUCCUUAACUUGAGAAAUUAAUGGCAAGUUGAUCCUGUUGUAUACAACAUGCGUCAUGAAGAUUUUUGCAAUAUCAAUUACUCUGUUGUGGGUGGACAGUCAGAUUAGAUCAGGGAGCUAAGAGAAUCCAUAGAGUUGCCUCUAAUGAAUCCCUAGCUUUUCCUCCUGAGGAUUAAGCCUCCAUAGGUAAAUUAUUAAAUAUAAUUUUCUGUAUUCUUUUACAUUUAGAGCCAUGUAUAGAAAUGUUUUUGCUUGUAAUAUUAGUUCUUAGGUAAACAAGGAUUUUAUCUGAGGGUGUUCUUCUCUAUGGACCUCUUGGAAUGGGAAAGACAUUGUUAGCCAAGGCAAUCACUAGCAACAUAGAUACCAAUUUAUUAAAGGUGUACAUACUAGAAUUUGGGUAUAUCUACAGUCUAACAACAUCUCAUAAUGGGCAUUUAUAAUUGGUGAUUGUUGCAGGUCAUAUCAAGUGCCAUUAUUGAUAAGUACAUUUGUAAGAGUGUAAGAUUAAUUUGGGAAAUGUUUAAUUAUGCUUGUGAUUACUAAGUAAGAUUUCAAUCGAAUUCAUUUCAUAUAUUGGGAGUGUUGGACUUGUAGAAUGAUUCUGGAGGUGCCCUAAAAUAUUAACACUCUAUUAUCUUUAUUUGUAUCCCUGUAUCAUUUUCAUGGAUGAGAUAGAUGCAUUUAGUAGACGCUGUUUCAGCGAGGCAACCAAUGCAGACCAUCAAAUCCAAAGAAUGCUCAUUGAUUUGAUCAAUAAUUGGAUGAAAGUCCUCAAGAUCCAUGAUGCUGGGAUCGACAGACAUGGGGAAAUUGAUUAUGAGGUUGCUAUUAUGCUCGGUGCGGUUUGCUAAUAAUUCUAACAAGAAAAUAUUAUACUGUUUCUAUUGCAUCAAUGUUCUAAUGACUUAUUUUAUCCUCAGGGUUAGGGUUUUAAUGGGGCUAAUAUACAUGAUAUUCUGUACAAUCUGUGGACUCCAUCCAUCUAUAAUAUGUCUUGACACUUGCUAGGUCCCCAAAACAUCACUGUUCGACCUUGAGUGAGAUAUUUUCCCAAAAAUAAAUCCCAUCUCUUCAUGAUAUUCAUCCACAAAUCACACUCCUAAGCUAAAGUGAUAUCUUUAGUUCUCCAACCCUCUUUAGUAAUACCAUAUUUAUCAACUACCACCUCUUUCACGGAGCUUGUACCCCCACCCCACCCUCUACCCCUCGCGAACAUCCAAAGUCAAUUGUUUAGUAAAGCUUUAUUAAAGACUUUUAAGCAUUGUAAUUCCUAGGUAUCCUAUUUUUUAGGAGAUGUAACAGUUAUCCAACGCACCAAGUUAAAGUUUCUUGCACCAUCCGCCUCUUUACCUAAAAUUAAUCUAGUUUCUUCAAGUUUUUUUCCUUCUACUGUCAUAACAUUUACUAAUUAAAUAUACAUUAUCCUCUUGAAUUCGUGUAGACAAGACAACCCAGCCGUCAAUGUUAUAAAAAAAGAGUUUGGUUUUUUCGUGCUUUAUGACCUGGAAUUUUAAUUUUAGUUGGUCAAGUUGAAUUUUUGAGCGUUUGACAGUUUCCCAAUUGUUUCCCUAUUGUAUUAUGGUUAGCAAUAUCAUUUAGGUCUUUUAUUUUUCAGAAUUAACCUUUAUUUUUAGGAUUCCUAAAGAUUGCCUUUAGUUCUAAGGAAGUUCAUGCACUAAAUGUUAUUAACCUUUUGACACACCCUAUGUUGGUUAUUUUAUAAUCUCUAACUAGUGUUUCCUAAACUUUGUUUCAGCUUAUGCAAAUUGUGAAAGUCAUUAGAACAUUAUGUCUUAGAUAGUAGAGUUGCAUUUAUGUCUUAGAUAGUAGAGUUGCAUUUAUUUUUAGAUAAUAACUUUUGCUGAUUUUAUACAGCCUACCAGUCACUGUGGACAAAAUCAGAAUUCUGAUUGGCGUCCUGCAAAGGCUGCCUUGUAUUGUAUAUGAGCUAUAUUAGAUUAUGUUUCUGAUAUUGGAGCCAAAGUAAUGUCGAAGGUCUGAAUGAUGGUUUAAAAUUAUGUCUAUUCAACUUUUUUUAACUUAAGAAAUUAUGUUGACUUGUUUUUAUUCUUUGUUACCUUACUAUUUCAACAUGCAGAUAAUUCCUUUGCUUCCCAAGUUGCCUCAUCAGCACCAGCUACUUCAAACAGGUUAAGACUUAGGAGUAUCACCCAAUCUGAAAAUUUCUGAAGAUUAAAGUUACAAAUGAAAGUACAAGUUCAUAAAAUGCACGGGCUCAUUAUUAUUUUGCUAAGAACAUUAUGUAAACUUGACAACAAAUUCUAGCUAGCGAUGUUAAUUGGUUAGGUUUUUUUAUUUAGAAAAUAUUAAAACUAUUGAUAUGAUACAGCUCGAGAUGUUAAAUGGUUAAGUUUUUAUUUUUUAGCAAAUAUUGAAACUAUUGACAUCAUA